RNAcentral lists this ribosomal RNA (253 nucleotides) under uncultured bacterium. RNAcentral's name for it is "partial 16S ribosomal RNA". It matches the Rfam family "Bacterial small subunit ribosomal RNA", at positions 524 to 776 of the family's 1533-position model. The record is from RNAcentral.
CACGUAGGGCGCAAGCGUUGUCCGGAAUUAUUGGGCGUAAAGAGCUCGUAGGCGGUCUGCCACGUCCGCUGUGAAAACCUAGGGCUUAACCCUGGGCUUGCAGUAGAUACGGGCAGACUAGAGGUAGGUAGGGGAGAAUGGAAUUCCCGGUGUAGCGGUGAAAUGCGCAGAUAUCGGGAGGAACACCGGUGGCGAAGGCAGUCUCCUGGCAAGUUACUGACGCUCAGGUGCGAAAGCUAGGGGAGCGAACAGG